Molecule: non-coding RNA, 341 nt
Organism: Misgurnus anguillicaudatus (oriental weatherfish)
Lineage: Eukaryota; Metazoa; Chordata; Actinopteri; Cypriniformes; Cobitidae
Source: RefSeq, a predicted model, not a curated record
CUUAACACUUGUUUAUACUACAUUUUCUGUUUAAUCCAUAGAGCACUCGAUUUGAGUCCUGAGACCCUGGGGUGACCACCGUGAACAAAUACAGACAGCAAAAAGGAGGUUCUAGGAUGAAUGCAAAUAAAGACUGACCACCUGACUUCAGCGGUCCAGUCUCUUGUGGGAAGCAGGUGUUUGUUACCCCAAAUACGGAUGAAGAGUGACGAAGAGGAUGAUGACUUUUUUCUCAAACAUCUGCUGAAGAUCUUGACAGGCUGGAGACAAAAUUAACAGACUGAGGGUUUAUACAAAGAAUCUUACUCAGCCAAUAUUAAAGAUAAGAUAUUUUUACAAAA